UCCCUGGUGGCUCAGACGGUAAAGCGUCUGCCUACAAUGCGGGAGACCCGGGUUCAAUCCCUGGGUCGGGAA
This 72-nucleotide transfer RNA is filed under the name Odocoileus virginianus texanus. It matches the Rfam family "tRNA". Rfam says of the family: Transfer RNA (tRNA) molecules are approximately 80 nucleotides in length. Their secondary structure includes four short double-helical elements and three loops (D, anti-codon, and T loops). Further hydrogen bonds mediate the characteristic L-shaped molecular structure. tRNAs have two regions of fundamental functional importance: the anti-codon, which is responsible for specific mRNA codon recognition, and the 3' end, to which the tRNAs corresponding amino acid is attached (by aminoacyl-tRNA synthetases). tRNAs cope with the degeneracy of the genetic code in two manners: having more than one tRNA (with a specific anti-codon) for a particular amino acid; and 'wobble' base-pairing, i.e. permitting non-standard base-pairing at the 3rd anti-codon position. The record is from Rfam by way of RNAcentral. Lineage: Eukaryota; Metazoa; Chordata; Mammalia; Artiodactyla; Cervidae. RNAcentral also lists the same sequence under 12 other names.